AUGACGAUUUCUUCAAGGACAGAUUGUUAAGGUGUACACAAAAAAUUCAGGGUUGUGGUGGCAUUCACAGAACAGCUGCAGAUGGUGGAGUGCUGCCUCUGGACCCAAGAAAUGAGCACUGACUGGUGGCAUCGCAUCAUAAUGCAGGUUUGGGAUGGUGAGCAGUGGCUGCAGAACUUUGGGGUGUGAAAGGCCACAUUCGUGGAUCUGUGUGCUGAGCUCACUCCAGCGCAGACACACCAGAAUGAGCUGCAGUGACAGAGAAGAAGAGUGGUGACCAGUCUGGAAGCUUGCAGCGCCGGUCAGUGGGAAAUCAUUUUGGAAUUGGAAAAGCCACAGUGGGGGCUGUUGUGCAAGUGUAUAAGGCUGUUAAUCAUCUCCUGCUGUGGAUGGAUCUGCAGCUGUGGGAUUCCUGAACUGCGGUGGAGCAGUAGAUGGCACAUCUUGUUGUAGCACACCUUGCCCCAGAAGAUAUUAAAAACUUCCAACAGGGUGAAGGUGGAGCAGCUGAGUUUGAAGAGGCAAACACCAGGGCCAUUAUAACAGCUUAUUGUGGAGCUGGGUGGUUGAAGAAGGCUUUGAAAGAGCAUUUCUAAUGGUCAGCCACAGUAGUGCUGUGUGCCUGAUGCUGCCCUGGCCCUGACGACCUAGAAUUGUGUAGUGUUUGGUGUAAAUGUUACUCUUCUUUCUCAUCCUCAUCAGGAUCAGAUGUUCUGCAGGGAGGCAGUGCCCAUCAGGGCUGCAAUAGCAGCAGCUACAGGUAAACCAGAUGGAUCAUUGGAUGUACAGUCAGAACAGAUAGGUAAAGAUAAGCUUCAAAACUCCCUUCCCUUAUUACCAUACUUUUUAACAAGACAUGCUUAUUGACAUGGCAUAGUCCCAGCCUUUUGAGUAUGGCCGGGUGAGGGUAGAGACCAGGGGAAAGGAGGAAGGCAUUAAGGUUUUUGGUUGUAUGAAAGAAGAAAAUUUGUCGCCACUGCUGUGGGUACAGGUAUAUAGGGCAAUGGCACUGAAUAUUGGUCCUGUAUUCAACAGGCAGGGGUGAUGUUAGCCUAUAUCUCAUUGCUGAGGGUAACAACGGCAUAGCUCAGCUGCUGCUGGUGUCCUGAAGCCAUUUUGGCCCGUAUGCGCUAGCCUGUUUGCUGCAGUGGUCUCUGCUAAAGGCCAGGCAGAGUGGCAUGGAAAAGUGUCCUACUGUGGAGGAAGAAAUCAGACUGUCAUCCCGAGACAUCUUUAGGAGAGGAUUGUGGUGUAUCUCCAUGAGAGUCAACGGAGACUUCUGGAGGAUACAAGGGACAUCUCUAUGUACAAUCGCUCCCUAUGCCCCUCCUGCCUAACCCAACAGGAGUGAGAAGCAGAUGCCAACUCUGCCUCUGUCUGUACCGCUGCCACUUCUCCUAUGAAUAACACAAUGACAAGUCAUUACCUGGAGCUUAACUUGAGGGUGUGGGGCACAGUCUUUACGUUUAAAACAUGGUGAGGGAAAAUGCAUGUGCACACCACGCUUCCUUCUGCUCCAUUGGGCUCCUCCGGGCUUGGCUGCUGGGACUAGCUGGUUUCCCAUGAAGUCUUAAACAGGUCCAGGCUUGCUGCGUGGCUUGACACCUUCCUCCUCACCCUCUCUUCUCUCCCCCCACCCCCUAGCACAUGUCUCCUCACUGUUUAUGGCUGGGGUCUCUGUUUCCUCCGAGGUACCCACCGCAAUCUGCAGGGUACUCUUGGGGUCUCUGCCCAGUGUGGCAUGCAGCAUGAUGUAAAAGUGAGGCCUGCAACUCAGCACCAGAUCAACUGUUGACCUCCCUGGCCUUGUGAUCAGGGGCACCGGGCUAGGGGGCCAUAGCCCCAUCAUUGUCUACCAGCUGUAAGGGUCAGUGGGGGGGGCGGUGUCUCGGGGGACAGGGCCAUGGUUCCAGCACUGGUGGUUUCCCCCACUUUUAGGGAGCUCCUGCUGCUCCUGCUUGUGGGAUGCCUACUGCAAUUCCUUUGCUUUCACACAGCACGGCAGCUGAUCCCUAUUGCACCCCUUUGCCUGCAUCCCCCGUGCCGUCUCUCCGUAGCUGUCCCCCUGUUACUGUGGUUGGUCUGUAGCUGUGCUUGCACAGCCGCUUCUCCCCACAGGCCUAGGAGACCCAGUACCUCCUGUCUGCUCCAGGACCAUGAUAUGUUGUGUGCAGCAGCCCAGCAAGGGAGGAGCUGCAAGGUGUGCACCGAGCUGAGCAAUCAGGAAAAGCAUUUAAAAAUGUGGGGUAUUUUAAGGGGGAGGGGGCUUCUGGUCACUGAUGUCAGGCAACGGAGUUCACAUUUGUGACCUGAGCAGUCACUGCUACAAGAAAUGGUGCGUUGUGGGACAGCUGCUGGAGGACUGUUGGUGUAGACAUAGGUCACACACUGUCUGCACUCAUGGCGUUGGCCUCAUUAGGUCGGACAUGGUCCAUGCUGUUUGGGGAGGUGGCUUUACUGCAUCACCCUAACAGGGCACUGAUGUCAGCUGGAGACUCAUCUGAAUGUAGCCGCACAUGCAUAGGUUGACAUAAAUCGCCUUGCGUCGACCUAACUUUGUGUAUGGACUAGGCCGAAGGGCAGUGUGCCGAGAGUCAGACCUGAGAUGCUUGGGUCACUACUAAUGCUUUCAGCAAAAGAACGGUUAAAAUGUGUCCAGUAUUUGAAUGUUAAUUACCUUUGAAUUGUCUGGAGCUGGGCAUUGUUAAAACAAUGAGAUCAGAAUGAUGUCUAGACUCCAUGUGAAAUACAGACCCAUCAGAGUACAACUUCAGCACAAAGGUUCUAUGUUGUGUGCUUGUCUUAACAUAAUUAAUGAGCUAGGUCUGUAACAAGCACUGAAAGGAAGGAAGCGGCUACUGUUACCGUGCAGUAAGUGACUGUUUGGAGAAACGGUCUGAGAGUCAUCUGUACACGAUGUAAAUAAAGGGGGAGGCUAUUAAAUGAUCAGGAGACAGAGCAAAGGCUGGGCCUGAAACAAGCUCUUCUCAAAUAUUAAUGAGUCUGCCCCCCUC
This is a long non-coding RNA of Trachemys scripta elegans, 3014 nucleotides long. RefSeq lists it as uncharacterized. The transcript has 3 exons. The record is from RefSeq and is a predicted model, not a curated record. Lineage: Eukaryota; Metazoa; Chordata; Testudines; Emydidae.